RNAcentral lists this transfer RNA (73 nucleotides) under Marmota monax (woodchuck). Its description in RNAcentral is "tRNA.Tyr". The record is from RNAcentral. Lineage: Eukaryota; Metazoa; Chordata; Mammalia; Rodentia; Sciuridae.
UUGGUUGUAGCUCAAUGGUAGAGUGCUUGCCUAUAGCACGCGUGAGGCACUAUGUUCAAUCCCCAGCACCAAA